UGUAUCUGAAGUCUGACGAGGAUGAGAACCUCCGGGGGCAAGAGGUUCGACCCGAGCGAAGCGAGAGAACGUUGCGCCAGCAACGGCCCGCAGUGGCAAGUCAUCCUCUGUCACCGGCA
RNAcentral lists this small RNA (119 nucleotides) under Salmonella enterica. RNAcentral's name for it is "RtT RNA". It matches the Rfam family "RtT RNA". Rfam says of the family: This family represents a bacterial cis-regulatory element known as RtT RNA. Lineage: Bacteria; Pseudomonadati; Pseudomonadota; Gammaproteobacteria; Enterobacterales; Enterobacteriaceae. RNAcentral also lists the same sequence under 17 other names. The record is from RNAcentral.